Long non-coding RNA from Alosa sapidissima (American shad), 789 nucleotides. RefSeq lists it as uncharacterized. The record is from RefSeq and is a predicted model, not a curated record. NCBI's taxonomy places the organism in Eukaryota, Metazoa, Chordata, Actinopteri, Clupeiformes, Clupeidae. The transcript is spliced from 3 exons.
GCAGCUGACUGAGGGGUGACGGACAAUAUGCAGCAGUGGGAGGGUUCGGUAAAACCUACCGUUCUCGGCUGUUCAAUGGGAGGAGCCAAUCGGCGGCGGUGGCAGUGUGAAAGAGCGCUGACAGAAGGGUGACGGGGCUUCGGGGACAGGAAGUGAGCUCGUCAUGAGGAUCAGCGCUCUGUCGACCUUGGACAUCUGAGAAGCGGACAGCGAUAAAAACCACAGAGAGAAAGAGAGAGGAUCUUUUAAUUUUUUUUUUGCUUUUUGUUUAUUUCUUUGUUGGCUUGCAUCCUUGUCCAACAUGCCCUCUCACUGGAACCGCUUAUCUCACAGACGCCCAUCUUACUCCACCACAAGGCCUGUCUCUCCUUGCCUACUCUGCAAGCCGUGAGCCGAAAUACAUUGAAAUCAAACACACACACACACACACACACACACACACACUCACACACACACACACACACACACAAACACAAACACACACACACACCACCACAGGCCUUGUCCUGACCUGCUGACUGCAUGACUGUUUGGCUGGCUGGACUGUUUGGCGGCGUGCGACCAUGAAGAGACCCAAGCAGCAGUCGCAGCCCCUCAGCUUCCUCAGCUUCUUCAGCCGCAAGCCCAAAUCCGACCCCAGGAUCGAAAAGCCCUCAGGAGCAGUGAGCCAGGAGGUGGCUAUCACGCUAACGCCCAAUGAGCAGGAACCAGCAGAGCAGAACGCUGCAGCAGAGAGCCAGGGGGAGAUGACUGGCAGUGGUGUGGAUGGUUGUGGAGAGGGAGGAGGAG